RNAcentral lists this long non-coding RNA (971 nucleotides) under Heterocephalus glaber (naked mole-rat). RNAcentral describes it as "lncRNA (ENSHGLG00100038365.1)". Lineage: Eukaryota; Metazoa; Chordata; Mammalia; Rodentia; Bathyergidae. The record is from RNAcentral.
AAACUGUCUGUAUUUUGUCUCUUGUCCCUGACCAUUUCUGAGAUGCGAUACCCUGGAUGAAGAUUUUUCUGGACACUGAGUUGUUCUUGGAGAUGAUCAGGCAGUCUGCACCCUGGAAGUGUAAUCUAACUGCUAAGGAGAUAUUAUCUUCGUCCAGUUAAUCCUCAAUUUGCUGUUGCGCUGCAGACUAUCUGAACAGAAUUCAUGAUUUGUGCUUUCAAACAUCUGAGCUGAGAAGAGGAGCCUUUGCAAGUUUUAGUACAUGUGUUUUACCAUCCAUAUUCAUGAAGAAAAUCAGCAUGUAUAGGUCUCCCAUACCCGGUGAUGUACAGUAGUGCUGGAUAGCUCUGGAGAGCAGUUCUGGCUGGCAAAGAAAGCAGCAAGGAUUGCUAGGAACCAUCUCGCCAUUCAAAGCUGAAAGUUGGCUGCAGAGUAGAUUUUGGUUUUCCCCAUGGAUGCUGAAAGAGAAGGGAAGAAUCAUUUCUGACAAUUCUGCAUGGCUUCUGCAUUGCAACUGGAUGUAGAAUCUGCUCCUGUUUGCAUCCAUGUUCCCAGGAUGAAUUUUUAUUGACAGAAGAAAAGGUAGCUGCCUCACCAGCCCAAGGAGAUGGUGCCAUAUUGAAGACUCAAUUUUGGUUUAUUUGGCUGGAAGAAGGGACACUCAGCAAUGUAGGAAACCAAUACAUCUUCCAAUCUGAUGGGAUCUUCAAACUCAUAAGAUUUUCCUAAAUGCUGACUGGAGGGUUUGAGCUGAUAUCCAUGGAACGAGAAUGAUUAUUCGUUUUUUGUGUUUUUUUGGUGCCAGGGAUUGAACUCGGGACCUUGAGCUUGCAAGGCAGGCACUGGAACCACUGAGCUAAAUCCCCGACCUGAGAAUGAUUAUUUGUAAUGCAGACCAUUUUCUUGCCUCCAGCCCAUAGAAAACUGUAUUUUGAGAAUGAUUUGAACUGUAAGAUAAAACUUUACAAUCC